This 26-nucleotide transfer RNA is filed under the name Hapalemur griseus griseus. RNAcentral describes it as "partial tRNA-Pro". Lineage: Eukaryota; Metazoa; Chordata; Mammalia; Primates; Lemuridae. The record is from RNAcentral. RNAcentral also lists the same sequence under 1 other name.
UGAAAUUCUAAUUAAACUACUCCUUG